AGUGAAGUCCAGCACAUUCAUACUCGGAAUAACUUUGAGUCCUCCUGAGUCUAGGUCUCUAAUUAAUUGAGGUCAUUCAUGGAGCCAGUUCACACCCAGUUCACAAAGCCACCUGGUAACAUUAAUGUUUCCUAAUCACAACCAUGAUUUCUUAACCACAGUCAUCUUUUCUGAUCAUAAUUAAUUAUAACCGCAGGAGAAGUGCCAUAGUUCUAGCUGUGCAAACUCAGAGCAUGGUACUUACCUCUUUCAGGUCUGUGCAUCUGCCUGUGUCAAAAAACCGGGGACUGGCAAGAUGGUGUCUCACAUCUUUUCCAGCCCGACAACGCUGAAUUCAGUUUUCACUCUAGGAUUAAUGGUUAAUCUACAAGACACACCUCACACACUACCAGGGUCUGACUUGUGCUCUAUAAUUUCCAUUGUAAUAUCACAAAUUGGAGGUAAUAUUGGGUUUGCAGAGUGCAGUGAGCUUGAAAAUUAUUAAAAUGGCUCAAGUUUUUGCCUCUGAAAUCCUUCAAAAUGUCCUUUCUCUCUUCCUUUUAAACAAAACAAAUGCUAGAGUGCCUUUAAAAUGCCUCGAAGCUUUAUGGUAGACUCUUUAUAUGCAUUGCUUAUUUAACUCGGAUUUGAACAUUGCAAGUAGUUUCAAUCAAUGGCAACAUAGAAAACAUUAGAAAUAAUAAUCAUUAAUCCAGUCAUUUAAAUCAGAGCAAUGAAUAGAUGUUCCACUGAACAGAAGACAUACUUGAUUUAAAACUCAUUCAUUUCCAUGUUCCGGUUAUAGUGGUAUGGAAUGAACUAUUUAUUUGUAUACAUCAGGUUCCCAGGAUGAAACACAGGCACUCAGACUGAAUCAUUUGAGGACAGUUAAGUACAAGGAAAAGCUGGCUUAAAACUCAACAUUCAAAAAACUAAGAUCAUGGCAUCCGGUCCCAUCACUUCAUGGCAAAUAGAUGAAGAAACAAUGGGAACAGUGACAGACUGUAUUUUCUUGGGCUCCAAAAUCACUACAGAUGGUAAC
Molecule: long non-coding RNA, 1021 nt
Filed under: Bos grunniens (domestic yak)
Lineage: Eukaryota; Metazoa; Chordata; Mammalia; Artiodactyla; Bovidae
Description: lncRNA (ENSBGRG00000022498.1)
Source: RNAcentral